Lates calcarifer (barramundi perch) is the source of this 519-nucleotide long non-coding RNA. RefSeq lists it as uncharacterized. The record is from RefSeq and is a predicted model, not a curated record. Lineage: Eukaryota; Metazoa; Chordata; Actinopteri; Centropomidae. The transcript has 3 exons.
CAGACAGUAAAUAUUUUAGCACUUUAAGGUCCAAAGCUUCACCCUCUUCAACCAAUAAGUACCAGUUUAAGUUCCCAAAGGUCCAUACAGUUCCCCAUUUUCAUUCAUUCCUGGGACUAAAGCUGUUGCUUUAGUGUCUUGGUGUUGACUCUCUGUGGUUUCUUGUGGGGGGGGGUUGGAUGUGCUGGCCUAUCUCUGUGGUUGCAGUACUCUCCCAGUUAAAGAUCGUCUUGUAGACAGCGCCUCCCCGGUCUAUCAGGCCGUCCAGAGCGCAGAGAAGGACCCGGACCUGGGCGAAUGGGGCCGCCGCAGCACUAACAUGCAGUCCAAGUCCUUCCGGGUCCUGGCCCACAUGACCGGAACUGAUUCCUUACCAGAGGAGGAGGAGCAGGAGGCACUGAGGAGGAGCAGCCCUACUGAGCAUGCUCCAGCUUGUGCCGGCUCCGCCUCUGCCUCUCCACCUGUUAUGGCUGCAGUGCAGCCUCUGGACCCCGCCCCCUCUUCACCUGACCACGCCCC